AAACGCUGGCGGCGCACAUAAGACAUGCAAGUCGAACGGAAGUCGUUAUACUGAUUUGAUAAGAACGGAGAACUUGUCAAAGGGACUUGAUGAAGAUUAUAACAAUGGCUUUAGUGGCGGACUGGUGAGUAAUACGUAAGCAACCUGGCUAUCAGAGGGGGACAACAGUUAGAAAUGACUGCUAAUACCGCAUAUGCCACAAGUAUCGCAUGAUACAAGUGGGAAAGGAGUAAUCCGCUGAUAGAUGGGCUUACGGCUGAUUAGCUAGUUGGUGGGGUAAAGGCUUACCAAGGCGACGAUCAGUAGCCGGACUGAGAGGUUCAACGGCCACAUUGGGACUGAGAUACGGCCCAGACUCCUACGGGAGGCAGCAGUCGGGAAUUUUGCGCAAUGGAGGAAACUCCUGACGCAGUGACGCCGCGUGCAGGAAGAAGGUUUUCGGAUUGUAAACUGCUUUAGACAGGGAAGAAAAAGGACAGUACCUGUAGAAUAAGCUCCGGCUAACUACGUGCCAGCCGCCGC
RNAcentral lists this ribosomal RNA (522 nucleotides) under uncultured bacterium. RNAcentral describes it as "bacterial SSU rRNA". It matches the Rfam family "Bacterial small subunit ribosomal RNA", at positions 32 to 518 of the family's 1533-position model. The record is from RNAcentral.